UACGAAGGGGGCUAGCGUUACUCGGAAUUACUGGGCGUAAAGCGUGCGUAGGCUGUCUUGUAAGUUGGUAGUUAAAUUCCCAGGCUUAACUUGGGGCCUGCUAUCAAUACUGCAAGACUGGAGUACUGGAGAAGAGAGUAGAAUUCCUAGUGUAGAGGUGAAAUUCGUAGAUAUUAGGAGGAAUACCAGAGGCGUAAGCGACUCUCUGGCCAGAAACUGACGCUGUUGCACGAAAGCGUGGGGAGCAAACAGG
This 253-nucleotide ribosomal RNA is filed under the name uncultured bacterium. RNAcentral's name for it is "partial 16S ribosomal RNA". It matches the Rfam family "Bacterial small subunit ribosomal RNA", at positions 524 to 776 of the family's 1533-position model. The record is from RNAcentral.